RNAcentral lists this ribosomal RNA (250 nucleotides) under uncultured prokaryote. RNAcentral describes it as "partial 16S ribosomal RNA". It matches the Rfam family "Bacterial small subunit ribosomal RNA", at positions 524 to 773 of the family's 1533-position model. The record is from RNAcentral.
UACGGAGGGUGCGAGCGUUAAUCGGAAUUACUGGGCGUAAAGCGCACGUAGGCUGUUGUGUAAGUCAGAGGUGAAAUCCCGCGGCUCAACCGCGGAACUGCCUUUGAUACUGCAUGACUGGAAUCCGGGAGAGGGUGGCGGAAUUCCAGGUGUAGGAGUGAAAUCCGUAGAUAUCUGGAGGAACAUCAGUGGCGAAGGCGGCCACCUGGACCGGAAUUGACGCUGAGGUGCGAAAGCGUGGGGAGCAAAC